CCGGUACCUAGUUCGGAUUGUAGGCUGCAACUCGCCUACAUGAAGUCGGAGUUGCUAGUAAUCGCGGAUCAGAAUGCCGCGGUGAAUGCGUUCCCGGGUCUUGUACACACCGCCCGUCACACCAUGGAAGUUGGGGGCGCCCGAAGUUGGUCGAGGAAUAGAUUACCUAAGGCGAAACCAAUGACUGGGGUGAAGUCGUAACAAGGUAGC
Molecule: ribosomal RNA, 210 nt
Filed under: uncultured bacterium
Lineage: Bacteria
Description: partial 16S ribosomal RNA
Rfam family: Bacterial small subunit ribosomal RNA
Source: RNAcentral